UGCCAGCAGCCGCGGUAAUACAGAGGGUGCAAGCGUUAAUCGGAAUUACUGGGCGUAAAGGGCGCGUAGGUGGUUGAUUAAGUGGUUUUUGAAACCUCCGGGCUUAACCUGGAGCGUAGGAAUCAUACUGAUGAACUGGAGUACAGUAGAGGUAAGUGGAAUUUCCGGAGUAGCGGUGAAAUGCGUAGAUACCGGAAGGAACACCAGUGGCGAAGGCGACUUACUGGACUGAGACUGACACUGAGGCGCGAAAGCGUGGGUAGCGAACAGGAUUAGAUA
This 279-nucleotide ribosomal RNA is filed under the name uncultured bacterium. RNAcentral describes it as "partial 16S ribosomal RNA". It matches the Rfam family "Bacterial small subunit ribosomal RNA", at positions 506 to 784 of the family's 1533-position model. The record is from RNAcentral.